UUUGAUAUGCUAAUGAAGGGAUAAUGAGUUAUGACGUCAUAAUAUACGCCCCGCCUCUGUAUUACCAUAUAUAGAAUAUAUACCGAAAACAGCAGUUUAAGCAUAAAAUACGGCUGAUUUAAUACUUCAUAAGUAAAAUAUAACUACGAAUCACUCAUGUGUGUUUUUAUAAGUUUACAACAAUCAGAAUAUACGAAGAAUUUCCAUAACGCAUCUGUCGUAUGGGUGUGAAUCUGCGUCCCAAAAGCGCUCGUCAGACGAUGUAAACACGUGUUGCUGGUAUUCCCGAUGAUGGCGAUCUUUUGAUGAUUUAUCAGAGUAAUUUGAAAAGUGUCACACUGAUUUGACAAAAAAAGGCUGGAAGAAAAUCUGGUACCUGCUUUGUCUUGAGAUUUACAUAAAUGAUGUUCUUAUUGGUGAUCAUUUACCCGCACCCUUAUCCUGGUGUCAUAUACAAGAUGAAAUGAUGGAAAGAAAAACCUGAACUUUAGAAACAGGAAGACUGUGUUUUUGAAGAGAGAAGAGGACCAGAACUAAGAAGUCAUACAAUAAACACAUUGACAUCAUAAAAAGAAAUUGCAAUUUUGAGUUUGCAUGCAUAUUUCAGGUUUAAAUGUUGUCACAGAAUUUUUUUUCAGAAAGUCCCUUUAUCUUCUUGAAUUAAUAAAACAAAUGAACCAAAUAUAAUUGUUUCUAUAUAUAUAAUUUUGUUUGAGAAGUGGAAAGGGGAUGGUAUGUAAAUGGGCAGGAGAGAGAGUCUCUCACAUAGGAGAAUUCAGACUUAUUUAAAUUCAAUAUAUUGAUGUGAA
Molecule: long non-coding RNA, 809 nt
Organism: Magallana angulata
Lineage: Eukaryota; Metazoa; Mollusca; Bivalvia; Ostreida; Ostreidae
Exons: 3
Source: RefSeq, a predicted model, not a curated record